UGGGGAAUAUUGCCCAAUGGACGAAAGUCUGAGGCAGCAACGCCGCGUGCGCGAUGAAGGCCUUCGGGUCGUAAAGCGCUUUUCGGGAGGAUGAGGAAGGACAGUACUCCCGGAAUAAGGUACGGCUAACUACGUGCCAGCAGCCGCGGUAAAACGUAGGUACCGAGCGUUAUCCGGAUUUACUGGGCGUAAAGCGUGUUCAGGCGGUCUGUCAAGUCGGGCAUGAAAGCUCCCGGCUCAACCGGGAGAGGUUGUCCGAUACUGGCAGACUUGAGGGCAGUAGAGGGUGGUGGAAUUCCGGGUGUAGUGGUGAAAUGCGUAGAUAUCCGGAGGAACACCAGUGGCGAAAGCGGCCACCUGGACUGCACCUGACGCUCAAACACGAAAGCUAGGGGAGCGAA
Molecule: ribosomal RNA, 401 nt
Filed under: uncultured bacterium
Lineage: Bacteria
Description: bacterial SSU rRNA
Rfam family: Bacterial small subunit ribosomal RNA
Source: RNAcentral